AUAAAAAUAUAUAUAAAUUUAAAAAUUUGGCGAUUGCAUAUUUCGAAAUGCGUUAUUAAUUAUAUAAUAAUUGGGUUUUAUUUUAACAAUUUCAAAUGCCCAUAUCCAAAUUAUUUUGCUCCAAUGGAUUUAAAGGAAAGCUUUUGGUAUUAUUUCCAAAAUAUCCACAACGUCGAAAAUGUAUUACCAAAAAAACGUAUUUUAAAUUCCGAAAAAAAUAAUUACAACCGAUUUGGAUCGAUCCGUUUUGCCAAAAAACAAAAAACAAUAUUAAAUUCCAAUCCGACAAUUAUUGCGACGUUAAUAUCCGAACAAAUAAUUGCUAUUAUAUUUAUUAAUUUGAACAUUUGUAAUCCUAAACGUUUUAAUUUUAAUAUAAUUUAAUAGGGCGCCAUUUGCGUUUAUUACGUCGCCUAUUUUUAGCACCGGUAAAUUAAUUUCGUCCAACCAGGACAAAUAAUAUUCGAUUUUAUCGACGGAUCCCAAUUUCCUAAAAGAUUUUUGCAUUACCAAAAAUCCUAAUAAUCUAUUGCGACACGUUUUGCUCCUGGAUUUAGGUUUUCCCGGGGCAUUAUAACCUAAUUUAUUUUAUAUUCCAAAUUUUAAAAGGAAAUUUACAAAAUUAAUAAAUCCUGCGUUUAUUAAAUUACCCGUCGCAAUAUUAAAAUGUAAUUCUUUAGGGGACGUUAACCCCCCGAAUAAAAAUAAUGCCAAUUUAAUAAAAUUUACGUUACAAAAUAUAUUGGUUAAUACCAAAUAUUUUCCGAAUUUAUUAAAAAAUAAACCAAUUGCGUUUAAUGCAAAAAAUAAUAUAUGGAAGGCCGAAAAAUUUUUCGCGAAAUGGGGUUUAAAAAAAAAACUUUACUAUUUUGUUAAAUGGAAAAAAUUCCCAAAUAAAAACAAUAUGUGGGAACCACGAGGUAAUAUUAGCGAAAAUUUUAUUAAAAACUUCGAAUCGAAUUUUGAGGGAAAUUAUACAGGAAUGCGAUUAUUUAAUAAAAAAAAAUAGGCUGAAAACAUUAAAUAUUUGGUAAAAUGGAAGGGUCGACCAAAAGGCGAAAAAUUAUGGAAAAAGGCCAAAACGUUAAAUAGCGCACGGAUUCGGGAAUACGAAACAAAAAUAUAAGAUUUAUAAACAAUUAACAAACGUUAAAAUAAAUUAAAUAACCAAUUACGGUUUUUUGGCAAAUUAAUUUUGGAAUUUUAUACGCACCAAAUUGCGUAAAAAUGGUGCCAAUAAACCGAAAAAACAAAUAACCAAAGCUAAUAUACGGCGGUAUAUAUUUACGGUACCGCGAUAAAAUAUAAAAAUAUAUAUAUUAAUACGUAUUUUAAAUUGGAUGCAAAACGCAUCGGAAACAAAACUGGUUAAAAAACAAAAAGUUUUUUACUAAAUUACGUAUAAAUAUAUAAAUAUUACGGCCAGGGUAAAUAUAGUACAGAAACUAGUUUAUU
This 1455-nucleotide small RNA is filed under the name Pyricularia oryzae. RNAcentral's name for it is "Magnaporthe oryzae sRNA M_BR32_EuGene_00097961". Lineage: Eukaryota; Fungi; Ascomycota; Sordariomycetes; Magnaporthales; Pyriculariaceae. The record is from RNAcentral.